GUUCAGGCACGUUCAGGCUUUGUCACGGCGUAAUGAGGUGAUCACCUCAAGGCUAAUUUGUUGUUUUUAUAGUUUUAGAGCGGCGCUGGUGGCGCGUGCAUUGAGGCCAAUUGGCGCCGGAGAUCGCGUAAAGUGAUCGCAGUAUUUAGCUGGUGGCUGAAUGUGUAUGUAUGUUGAGCCCCGGUACCUGUGAGUAAUCAUACAACUUCGCAUCUGGUGUUUGUUCAAUCUAAUGGUGAGAGUGGGAAGUUGAGCUUGUCUUCUUAAAGACAAACCCCUAGCCGAAGACGCUACAUGUGACGCCGCUGCUUUAUUGCUUCAAUAAUGGCUUUGUUUCAAUAAUUGUUUUGCUUUUACUUAUUGUUUUGGAUGUAUGUCUGAUUUGCUUUGUAACCACAUAUAUUAAGAGUGAGUAGUCCGAGAAUGGUAAAAUUAGUGUUUCCUAGCCUCAAACCUGUUUCAGAUUUGUUGUUCCACCUAACCACUUUACUACUGAGAGGGUGUAUGUUAAGCCUUACUGUCUCCAUGCUAUAGUGGCCAUAAUUGUCAUUUGUACUGUUUACCAUAAUUCUAGUUCUGCUUGGGUGUUGUCAACUGCCACUAUUGCUUGUGGUGGUGUCAGUGGACUGGGUGUUAUAGCAGUCAUACCACAGUGUCUGUAAUAUUUGUCUUUCUGUGUCUUGUUGUUUAGUGUCUGUGUAAUUUUGGGUUAACUGGUGUCUUCUUUCUCUCCAGGAGCCAGUGAGUCUUGGUGGGACAGGGGAGGCUAGCUGCAUUUAUACGGUGGUGUGCUUCACAGCGUGCUCAGUGUGCCAACACAACAACUUCCUUAUGGUGUAGGUAGUAUGUGAUUUUUUGGUGUGAUUUGCAGUGGGUUUGGAUGAUCUCCUGAGUUGUAGCUGGCCUGCCUUGUCCCUGCCAAGCCUGGGCCUGGAGAAGUUCUUAGUUAUUAAAAUACUUGCUGUGCUUCAGGGGAAAGUGAUUUUAUAUUUUCAUGUCAAGUUUUAAAUGAUGCUUAAGUGUCAUAAUAAAAUACAAAUUUUUAUAUUAGUACUCAUGUCUCCCUCAUGUUCCUUGCCCCGAUUGGUGAAACUUCUGUGUGCCUUUUAUUUGGGAGUGUUUCCCUGGUUCUCCCCCAGGGUGGCGCAGUUGGAUUUACUGAAUUUUUGAUGACUGUUUUCCCUUCACAUUGAAAAUGCCACACAACAAUAUAUUGGUUAUGGUAGGUGUGAAUAUGGAAAAGAUGUACUGUAUGGGCAACCCUUUGUUUUGUUUUUCAGUUGUUUUCCAGAAAAUAGAAAAGCAAAUACAUGGUGUGAUCACUUAUUAAUGAUUAGAAGCUUCUCUAUUUUGAGCUCAACCAAAGAGAUCACAGUCCUUUUCUACUGGCUCACAAGUCCAAGGUUCAUGUAUUCACAAAUUAAAAUUCACCUAGAUAAAGCUGAAAUGAAACUAAUAUACCUGCUACUAGGUGCCUGCAAAAUUAAGGUGCCUUAGUAAGGUGUUGUGGACCAUUAGCCACCAGAACUUUCUAAAACUACUGGAGGUAUGAAUACUCUGAAUAAUACCAAGUAAUAAAUAAAUAUAGGUACUGCAUGUUGUUAAGAAAUACAGUGUUUGUUAUAAAUGUUGCCAUUUUAAUGCUAAAUGCAUGACUAAUAAACAUCCUGUUGAAUUCUGUCGUUAUAUGGAGUUGAUAUAACCACAAGCGUAACUUCCUUAGUCUAAGGAGAAAGUUACAUGAUGGCGGCAGCAAUGCAGCUUGUCGUCUUUCUCUUCAUGCUGGCUCCAAUCACAGGUAAACUAAUCUUCUAAAGUCUUUCUAACUGAAGAAGGUAAAGUAUUUGAUACAGUAUACUAUAACCUACACUGAGCUUUACAUAGCAGACUGUGUUAAAAAAAACAAACAAAAAAAAAAAACAAUAAUAUGAUCCAUUAUGUGAUGCACUGUUCAAAGUUAGUGUUUUAAAAUGUUGAAAGUCAUCUGGAUGACUGAGAUUUUGAUUAUAGUCAAUGUCAACUAAUUACUACUUGUUGUUGUUUUUAUGCUGUAAUCCAAUUUUCCACACCAAAUUACACCAUUACCACACAAAGUAAUACCAUUGCACACACCAUACAGGGUAUGAACUUGUUCCUUUCAGACAGAGUGGUAUUGUUAGAAGUGUUGGAAAAGACAGAUCUUUUGAGAUCCCGUUGAGAAUCAAUUGAUGGGUCAUGACAGUCUAUAAAUGAUUUUCAGUGUCUAAAUCUGAUCUGAGAGUCAAUUUUCAUUUCAAGUUAUCAUUAAGGGUUGUAGUGACUUUCUAUUUGAAAGAGGCAUUUAAAGAGGCUAGAUAUAAAUUUAUACAUUCAAGAUUGUGUAAGAUUUUGUAGUAGUGUAAAAUAUGAUUUAAUA
Molecule: long non-coding RNA, 2395 nt
Organism: Ictalurus punctatus (channel catfish)
Lineage: Eukaryota; Metazoa; Chordata; Actinopteri; Siluriformes; Ictaluridae
Source: Ensembl